AAUCGGUCAAGGGCCCAAGGAGCUAAUCAGAUUUUAUCUAUUCAGAUUUUCAUGAUUCAAUCAAUUCAUUGAGCUAAAUCAGAUUCUGUAUUUUAUUUCUCAAAGUUAUGACUAAUUAAACAUAUUAAACUCAAUUAAUCGCCAUUAAUAUACAGAUUUUCUCUUAACAAUGCAAUUAAUAAUAAACACAAACAAUUAUCUGAAAGAGGAUUAGGGUUACGUGUUUUUGUGGCCAUUGAGAUCAAUUCCUGAAAACUCAAACUCGCUCCUCCAUCUCAACUCCGCGGCGACAGCGCGGCGAGUCUCAGUCGGAGCUUCCCCGAUCUCUCAUGGUUCUCGUUCAUCUCUCCGACUCGAUUCUCAUCAUCGUUCUCGUUUCACGUCAUCAGUCUCCGCCUCGUAUCUCCGAUGGAACUCUUCGGCUAUCAUGGACAAGAAACAGAGCUAUAUCUCGCAUCUCCGGCCAAACUCUCAUCGUCUCUUAAUGUUUCUCAAUCUCAACUCAUGAACCUUCAACGGCGUCAGAGCUCUCAAGUUCCCUCUCGAUUGGAGAAAGAGUUUGGUGCGCUUUACAAAAUCCGGUCGCGUUCUUGAGGAUGAUGGAGAUUUGAUGCCGAUUCAGAGGUGGUGAAAGUGAAUAUUGAUGAUUGGAGAUUAUUGAUGAAGGUGAAUUCCGAAGGUUGAAGCGUGAAUUGCAGAAGUUUUGUUACGUGAAGGUUUUGCCGUCUUUGAUCAAGAUUCGAAGAUUGUUGUGAUAUGCUUUUUUUGUGAAUUUUCUGUGGAUUGAAGGAUGAAGAUGAGGAUUGUUGAAUUCUCAAGGUGAUUGAUGAAGAGUUUGUGAUUUGUUGAAGAUUGGAGAGUAAUCGAGAGCGAGGAAAAGUUUGUUACGGUUUCUCUUCCAAUUUCUGUUAUCAGGUUGAAUCAAGAGAGAAAGAAUUGAAGAGAAUCGUGAAUGUGAAGAUGAUGAUGAUAGAAGGAGUGAUGAUGAACGAUGAAGGUUCUUGAAGAGGCUCAAAGUUUGUUACGUUUUUGGUUAUCGGUGGUUCAAUCUUUUUGUUUUCUGUUAUUGAUUUUUGUGGUGAAUGAUGAUGUUGAAGAUUGAUGAGAUGAUCAUUGAUGAUUGAAGAGGUCUUGGAGAAAAGAUUGAAGAUGAGAUGCGAUGAAGGUCGAGAGAGAGAGAGAGUCGAUGAAGUUUGUUGUGAAGAAUCAUCUCAAGAUUGAAGAGUGAAUGGCAGUUCAAUCCAUCAAGAGAACGAAUCUCUCCCCAAAAGUUUGUUAUGGUUCUGUUACCAUUUUUUUCCUUCUGUAACGUGAAUUCUGAUAUAUAUCCAUUCCUGUUAUUCUGAUUUUUUGUUUUA
Long non-coding RNA from Vicia villosa (hairy vetch), 1358 nucleotides. RefSeq lists it as uncharacterized. The record is from RefSeq and is a predicted model, not a curated record. NCBI's taxonomy places the organism in Eukaryota, Viridiplantae, Streptophyta, Magnoliopsida, Fabales, Fabaceae. The transcript has 2 exons.